AUGGGCGCAAGCCUGAACGAGCAACGCCGCGUGGAGGAUGACGGCCUUCGGGUUGUAAACUCCUUUUCCGGGGGAUGAUUGUGACUGUACCCCGGGAAUAAGGCUCGGCUAACUCUGUGCCAGCAGCCGCGGUAAG
Molecule: ribosomal RNA, 136 nt
Filed under: uncultured bacterium
Lineage: Bacteria
Description: partial 16S ribosomal RNA
Rfam family: Bacterial small subunit ribosomal RNA
Source: RNAcentral